This 1047-nucleotide ribosomal RNA is filed under the name Saccharomyces cerevisiae (brewer's yeast). RNAcentral describes it as "SSU rRNA". It matches the Rfam family "Eukaryotic small subunit ribosomal RNA", at positions 64 to 1119 of the family's 1831-position model. Lineage: Eukaryota; Fungi; Ascomycota; Saccharomycetes; Saccharomycetales; Saccharomycetaceae. The record is from RNAcentral.
UAUAAGCAAUUUAUACAGUGAAACUGCGAAUGGCUCAUUAAAUCAGUUAUCGUUUAUUUGAUAGUUCCUUUACUACAUGGUAUAACUGUGGUAAUUCUAGAGCUAAUACAUGCUUAAAAUCUCGACCCUUUGGAAGAGAUGUAUUUAUUAGAUAAAAAAUCAAUGUCUUCGGACUCUUUGAUGAUUCAUAAUAACUUUUCGAAUCGCAUGGCCUUGUGCUGGCGAUGGUUCAUUCAAAUUUCUGCCCUAUCAACUUUCGAUGGUAGGAUAGUGGCCUACCAUGGUUUCAACGGGUAACGGGGAAUAAGGGUUCGAUUCCGGAGAGGGAGCCUGAGAAACGGCUACCACAUCCAAGGAAGGCAGCAGGCGCGCAAAUUACCCAAUCCUAAUUCAGGGAGGUAGUGACAAUAAAUAACGAUACAGGGCCCAUUCGGGUCUUGUAAUUGGAAUGAGUACAAUGUAAAUACCUUAACGAGGAACAAUUGGAGGGCAAGUCUGGUGCCAGCAGCCGCGGUAAUUCCAGCUCCAAUAGCGUAUAUUAAAGUUGUUGCAGUUAAAAAGCUCGUAGUUGAACUUUGGGCCCGGUUGGCCGGUCCGAUUUUUUCGUGUACUGGAUUUCCAACGGGGCCUUUCCUUCUGGCUAACCUUGAGUCCUUGUGGCUCUUGGCGAACCAGGACUUUUACUUUGAAAAAAUUAGAGUGUUCAAAGCAGGCGUAUUGCUCGAAUAUAUUAGCAUGGAAUAAUAGAAUAGGACGUUUGGUUCUAUUUUGUUGGUUUCUAGGACCAUCGUAAUGAUUAAUAGGGACGGUCGGGGGCAUCAGUAUUCAAUUGUCAGAGGUGAAAUUCUUGGAUUUAUUGAAGACUAACUACUGCGAAAGCAUUUGCCAAGGACGUUUUCAUUAAUCAAGAACGAAAGUUAGGGGAUCGAAGAUGAUCAGAUACCGUCGUAGUCUUAACCAUAAACUAUGCCGACUAGGGAUCGGGUGGUGUUUUUUUAAUGACCCACUCGGCACCUUACGAGAAAUCAAAGUCUUUGGGUUCUGGGG